UACGGGAGGCAGCAGUGGGGAAUAUUGCACAAUGGGCGCAAGCCUGAUGCAGCCAUGCCGCGUGUAUGAAGAAGGCCUUCGGGUUGUAAAGUACUUUCAGUCGUGAGGAAGGUGUUAAGGUUAAUAACCUUAGCAAUUGACGUUAGCGACAGAAGAAGCACCGGCUAACUCCGUGCCAGCAGCCGCGGUAAUACGGAGGGUGCGAGCGUUAAUCGGAAUUACUGGGCGUAAAGGGCACGCAGGCGGUUAAUUAAGUUGGAUGUGAAAUCCCCGGGCUUAACCUGGGAAUGGCAUUCAAGACUGGUUAGCUAGAGUCUUGUAGAGGGGGUAGAAUUCCAUGUGUAGCGGUGAAAUGCGUAGAGAUGUGGAGGAAUACCGGUGGCGAAGGCGGCCCCUGGACAAAGACUGACGCUCAUGUGCGAAAGCGUGGGGAGCAAACAGGGA
This 444-nucleotide ribosomal RNA is filed under the name uncultured bacterium. Its description in RNAcentral is "bacterial SSU rRNA". It matches the Rfam family "Bacterial small subunit ribosomal RNA", at positions 340 to 778 of the family's 1533-position model. The record is from RNAcentral.